CGGCGGCGGCUGGAGGCGGAGGCAGCGGAGAAGGAGGAGGUGCCCAGGCACUCCCCCUCCCAUUGUCCCCAGGCCCGGCCCCGCGCCCCGCACCGCGCCCCGCGCCCCCGGCCGCGCAGCCAGCCCUUACCUUGCAGCGCCUGGCUCUCCCCCGCUCGCUAAAGCUACUUAUCCCAGGAAAGCUCGCACGGGGCCCGGGAGCGAACCCACAGACAAAAAGUGAAACUUCGGCAGGGCUGGAGCGGCUGCUGGAAGAGGAAGAUGCAGAAGGUAAAAGGCCUGGGCAUUUAAAUAAAAUCAGAUAACUUCCUCAAGAGAUGAAGACUGGAUGUAAGCAGACCAAUGGGAAGGAAGAGGAAGAAUCAACAGAGCCUGGCCACUUGGAAACAGAAGCAGGAUGGGCAUGGGGAGGCAAAGGAGAGGAAGCAGCCAUUGGCAACACCUGGGACUUAACGAUCCAAUGUUAUCCAGUGAGGGAGUGAAUGCAAGAAUCCUUCAUCUUGGCUAGAGAAGCAACACAGUUGUUAUCGUCUCUCUGGAAGACUGGUCAUGUUAUCUUAGACCAUGACUCUGGGCAGGUACCAGGAGGGAUGAGGGAGAGGGGGAGGAUUUAAUAUUUGUUGUUUGUUACAAUGUGCCCUGUGUGCGAGAUUCUAGAGAAACCGUGCACCUCAGAUUGGGGCUUGAACCCACAAGGCUGGGACUCAAACCCAGCUGAAACCCACAGUCUUCCAAAUGAGAUCACACACCUGGUUUCAGGAUUUAGUGAAGCUCAGGUUCUUGAUGUCUCAUCACAGAAAGAAUUCAGUGAGAGACAAAGUGAUAGGUAACAAAUUGAUUUAUUUAGAGAGAAACACUCUACAGACAGAGUGUGGGCCAUCUCAGAAGGUGAGAAAAGCACCAGGGUAUGGGGUUGUCAGUUUUUACAGGGGUGGGUAAUUUCAUAGGCUAAUGAGUGGGAGAAGUAUUCCAGCCAUUUCAGGAAGGGGUGGGGAUUUCCAGGAAUUGGGCCACCACCCACUUUUUUUUAUUAAUUAAUUUAUUUAUUUUUUUAUUUUUGGCUGGGUUGGGCUUUCUCUAGUUGCGGCAGACGGGGGCUACUCUUCGUUGUGGUGCGUGGGCUUCUCAUUGCAGUGGCUUCUCUUGCGGAGCACGGGCUCCAGGCUCACAGGCUUCAGCAGUUGUGGCUCGCAGGCUCAGUAGUUGUGGCACAUGGGCUCUAGAGCGCAGGCUCAGUAGUUGUGGCGCACGGGCUUAGUUGCUCCACGGCAUGUGGGAUCUUCCUGGACCAGGGCUUGAACCCAUGUCCUCUGCAUUGGCAGGUGGAUUCUUAACCACUGCGCAACCAGGGAAGCCCCGCACCACCCACUUCUUGAUCCUUAUGGUCAGUCUUGGGACUGUCAUGGAGCCUGUGGGUGUGUCAUUUAGCUUGCUGAUGUGUUACAGUGAGCUUAUACUGAGGCUCAAGAUCUAAUGGAAAUCGACUUGUCCUACAUCUUGGACCCAUUUUGUUCAAAUCAGCUUAUGUCCUCGAGCUAUGUCAUUCUUUCCAAAGUUGUGCCCUGCCCCCUUCCCUCCCGUUUCACUAGGUCUUGUCACAUUUAGCAUAUAUCAAUUUUACAAAUUAUCUAAGGAUAUAGUUCUGCUCUGGGAGUAGACAUAGAAUUAAAGCAAUGGUUGCUUUUCAACUUUAUAUCAAAUAAAUUCUUUAAAAAAAUACUCAAGGUUAACUUUUUCCAGGAAGAAUUAAGCACAAGUGACAGUUUAAAUAUUUGAUGUGUCCUGCUCUAUAGCUGAGCUUAAUUCUCUUCUCAAGACUAUUGUACCAGCCUGUGAUGCAAACAAGACCUCUGACCAGAUCAGAUAAGCAUCAGCGUUUUGUAAAGAGAUGAAAACUUGGUAAACAAUAGUGGUAGGCUUUUAUUAAAUGCAGUAUUAAAGAUAAUGAAGUCUAUUACAAAAGGUCUGUUUACUCUCUAUUCUUCACAUCUCAUUGUACAAUGGGAAAAAAUUAUCUCCGUGUAAAAAAGGAAUAGAUUAUCAGACUUCCUAAAUGAAUAUUUUCUCCCUGUUUUGAGAGGGAGAAAAGACUUGGAUUUUUCUUGAGGGGAAAAUGGUAUCGCAAGCUACUUUCUUUAUUGGUUUUGAGAAAUCAAGCCAAUGUAGACUAAUGAUAGUUUGUAUCUGCCCAUGAAUUUCUGCACAAUUUUACCCAGCUUUGCAGCCCAGUUUUCAGCCAGAGGCUGUAAUCAUUGUUUGCAUUUUAUCAGAUCGCAGGAACAGCUUAUCUGAAUGCAGUCUGGCCCAUCCCAACUCACCCUUGCACAAGUCUGCUGACUUUUGACCUCAGGUAAGCCCAGAACAUAGGAGAGCUGUGACCACACCUGGAAGCCAGUGAAACUUCAAAGGUCAGUCAGUCUAGUCUGACAGGGGGCCAGUCUGUGGUAGUAGAAAUGUUGAUGGAUGGAGCUUUAAUCCCUCUUGGGUCCACUACCAAUGAAAAGUUUCACAGAGACUCAAACACAAAGGGAGACAAGUUACGCCACCUUUUUAUUUUAACAAGUAUAUAAUAUGCACUUGCUAACUGUACUAGACCUAGGAAUAGUGUUGAGAAAAUAGACACAAUGCCAGUUCUACAUGUUAAAACAAAGAUAAAACAGGAUAGCAACUCCAAGGGAAGGAGUAGGUGAUAUAGCUCAGCUGAGAUCUCCCAGUGGACCCCUGGAUGGACUGGACCUGCUACGUCAGCCAGGAGCCUCUUUUGAUAGUGUUGGAGCAGGCUACGAUGAGCCCGGAGACACCCCCCAGGGCCUGUUGAAGGAACACAAACAUGGAGCACACAUCUUUGUCCUCACAAAACAGCAAGAGGUAGAAACUAAUGUCCAGAGGUUUGAUGUCUGCAGCCUCGGUCUUGGUGGCCUCUCUGCUUCCUUUAGGAAGCUGUGUAGAGCGGUGUGACUUCUGAAGAGGGUCUGCUCGUUCUUGAUGAUGUGCGUAUCUGGGGGUAUGCUUUAGGAUGCAGUUUGCCUCAUUCGUGGCUGUGAUACACGGCCUCACCCACUCUUAGGGAAUCACAGCAGAUAUCAGGGCAGGAGAGAGAAUCUCUGCCCAACAGUAGGGAUUUGAUUAGAUUUAUAUUUCCAGCUACAGUUUUAGGUGAAUGAAAAGAGGUCCAUGACAUAUAUUUUGACAGCUUAAUUGCGGUAUAAUUUAUAUACCAUAAAAUCAUUCAUUUUAAGCAUACGAUGAUUUUACGUAACUUUAUGGAAUUGUAUAACCAUCACUGCACUCUAAUAGUAGAACAGUUUCAUCAGCCCCCCAAGAAACCUUGCACCCAUUUACAGUCAUUCCCCACUUCUGCCUGCAGCCUCAGGCAACCACUAAUCUACUUUCUGUCUCUAUAGAUUUGCAUAUUCUGGACAUUUCAUGUAAAUGGAAUCAUAAAUUGUGUGGUUUUGCAUCUGGCUUCUUUCACUUAGCAUAAUGUUUUCGAGGUUCACCCAUGCUGUAGCAUGUAUUAAUGGUUUCUGUUCUUUUUUAUGGCCUAAUACUAACCUAUUGGAUGGAUAUACCAUAUUCUCUUUAUUCAUUAUCAGUUGUUGAAUAUUUGGAUUAGUUCAACUUUGGAGCUAUUAUGAAUGACACUGCUAUGAAUGUAUCAUGUAAAACUCUCUGUGUGGUCAUGUAUUUUCAUUUAUCUUGAGUAUACAAUGUUUUAAAGUGGAAAAAAGAAGGAUAGGCAUAUAAAGAGGAAUCUGAAAGGAUAUGAACUUAGGUUUUCAAAGUGAUUAUCGUUAAAUGGUAAGAUGAUUCCUUCUUUUUGCUUACCAAAAUUUUCUUACAAUAAGCUUAUAUUAUUUUAACUUUUCCUAUGUGUCUGGAAUAAGACAAAGACAAUAUAGCGCUCAUUUUUUAAGACAAAAAAAAACCCAACAAAUAUUUGGAAAGUUGCAGUCCCUCUUUUGACAAUUGAAUCUUCUCGGGAAUCCUUAGCAGGUGGUUUGUAGUGAGAUAUUAUUUUGAAAUAUUUAAUGAGAUUUUUACCCAUAUUUCUAACCAUUAGUCCUUCACUCAACCAGUUAGCUUAAGACAUUCUGUGUUAGUGCAUUCCCAGAGAAAGGGUGGAAUAGACCUCGAAUUGAAUGAGACUAGGUUUCUCCUACCUUGCAGAAUAAAUUUAAUUUUAAGUAGAAGCUCCCAAUUAUAGACAAUUUUCAUAUUUUUAUUUCUCACUCUUGAGUUGCAGACUCAAACUAGUAUUCUCUAUAGGUUAUCCAACCUUUACUUGAGAACCCUCAAACUCAACAUGGCUCUAAAUUCAACUUCCUGAGUCCUCCCUACAUUAUACCUCCCUACUUCCAACCAUCCCAGUCACAACCCUGAAUCAUUCCUGACAUCUCUCUCCCCCCAACUCCUCUCUUCAAUGAGUUGUCAAGUCUAGCAGAUUCUGCCCUAAACAGUUCUCUCCCACUUGUCCCCUUGUGUGAGGUCAGGUUCUCAUUACAGUGUAGUCCCAUCAUUGAUGCAUGUCGCAUCCACAAAUUCAGCAUGAGAGCAGAGAGAGGAGAGAGGUAACCAUGGAAAUGCCACUGGUGGUCCUUACCACCAGGGUUCUUGUGAGCAGGAGGUGCAAGAUAUGAACCUGCCCUCCCACACUAGGUCUCCCAGUCUCUGCCCAUCUUUCAUUGUCAACUCUCCCACCUCUAUGAUUUUGUUGUUUAAUGGUACCCAUUUUUUAUUCAGCAUGGUCCUCAGUUAAAAGCCAGCUACUGCUUCUGGGGCUCAACCAAUAAACAGCAAUUAAUUCCAAAGCUGGAGGAAAAACAGGCUGGGUUGGGCACCAACAGGGCACCUUCCUAAGUAUUUUUCAAGGAUAAUUUCAAGCAAAAAUUUUCACUAUGUGCUUUCAUUUCAAUCACUAACACUAACAUUAGAUGGGGCUCCACUGAAUGGUCACCAGGAAAAUUCAAAGGCACGUUGAGUACACAAUAUUAGCACAAUCCUACCAAAGAAACAAAAAGAAUAAAAAUAAAUAUACACCUAGAAUAGUAGGUCAGCAAUUCACAUUUGCAUCCUAAAACGAUUUUUUUAAACCAAGGGGGCUUGGUGUUUUCACCUUCCAUUUGAACCUUAGAAAUUCCCAGUCAGGCACAUGAUAUUUCAUUUGUCAGGUUGACUCAUAGAUUACCCCACUACCUUAAUAUCUCACCUUUAGAUCCUGAUCCCCUCUAGUUCCAGAUCACCCAGAUGGCUGCAGCUGUGUAACCUGAGCCUCAGGUACCUGCAGGGCACUGAGAAGGCUCUGGCAAUAAGACACAGCUUCCUUUCUGCAGGUUUUUUAUUAUAAGUUUUCUCUUUGCUCACACAUACGGCUUAAUAGACAGGAAAAGAACAAGAACCCUUCAAGAUUUCCUUAGCAGAAAGAUAAGCAGUGUGAAUGUUUUCUGGUGGUACUUGCAAAUUCCAAAUAGGACAGGUCACAUUUUUUAGGCCCCCUGUACCAUGCACAGAUGAAGCACUCAACCAUAUAACUGAGCCCAGGGGAAGAUGCCCAGGCAAGGAGUCAAGAGACUUGGGUUCUAGUCCCAACUCUGCUAAUAAUGAAUAAUGAAUGUGAAAGCACAUUGCAGACUGUAAACACCAUGCAAAUGUAUGAAACGAUUGGUAUUGGUUUCUAUGAUUCCUAGCACUGCUUUUCCUAUCCCCACUGAACCUUUUCAACAUUGUUCUCAAAGUUAGCCUCCAGUGUUCUCUCAUGGUCUAUUUGACCCUUAAUUUGUCAACUUAUUGAUAACAAUAGAACUACUAAACCACAGUUUGACCCAAAUGCAAUAUAUAUUGAGCCUUGAUUUCCCUGAAUAGAAUGUAGAUAAGAAGACUUUCUAGGGCAUCAGGCUCUUAAAUGGAGGAUGACUUAACUGAUGCUUAAAUCCUCCUUUUCUUUAAAGAGAAAAAAAGUGGUUGUGCAUUGGGAUGAUGGCUGAGUCUCCAAUUAAAUUCUUUAAAGCACAUGGCUUUGACGUUUUAGUCCUACCUCUGAUUACAGUUAGAGGAUUGUGCUUGAUCACCAUGGCAGAGGUAGAAGAAACAGAUUUGAUUUUGUUUCCUUCUGUUUUAUAUUGACUAAUGAUUACAGUUCAAAAAGUGUCUAAAUUGCAAUAUUUCCCAUUGCAUAUUCCACACUUAAUCAAAAGGAGAGUAGCAUUCGUUAGGGUAAAGAAUAAAGAGAAUCGAGAAUCCUGGGCAGUUUAUCUGAUCCUGUUGCUAAUCCCCUGCUUACAGUUUGAUUAUGAGAUGACAAGCUUUCAUACUUAGUUUGUCCUUCUAGAGAGUGAGUGUAAUGCCGGAAGCUCUCCCUGACCCAGCACCGUUUAGCUUGGUUCCUGUCUCUGGUCCCUCUUAGCCUGCCUCAUCACUUGUGGGUCAGCCUUGCGUGCAUAUACAGGUAUGUAGCCUUUAGAAAUCACCAAAUCCCAUCCUCCACUUUAAUAGGUGAGGAAACUGAUCCUCUGGGCAAGAUCUGUACCCGACAGAGCCCUAGGUAGCUACCCCUUCCCCCAUCAGACCUCUAUUUCUACUUUCUCAGAGCUAGGAAAUCCCAGCCCCAACCAACAGACCUGCACAGAAUGAAAACCUGAAGACACCAGGAACUGGGCCAGAAAUGGACUAUGACAUCCAGAUCUCCUCUGAGAAUGGGUUCGACCCUGACCCAGGUGGAUAGAGUGGAGUCAAGGAUUUCCUGUGUUAUAAAAGCAGAUGACCACUCAUUUAAGAAACGGUAACCAGAAAGUAAGACCACCAUGGGGUCUGUUUAAAAGAUAUUGAUCGUAUCAUGCAGGGUUCUUAGUUGUAAAUUAGUUGUGAAUUAGUCUCUGACAAUAUAAACAAAAUUAAUUUAUUAAACUGAUGUCGAGGAGCUUCCAUAGCUUUGAGACUAAAGAGCAGAUUCAAAGACUAUAUAAUAAGCUAUUUAAUUGCUCCCAUGGUGACACUCCUAAAUGCCACAGCUGGCUGUGGACAUUAGUGCUUGUACCCGACCCUAGGUGCUGCCUCUAGAACUGCCGCUAUGCUGCAUCUGGAAACUGGGGUUGGCCAGUUCUGCUCUGCUUUCUUGAUCCACUCAUAUUAGUGCCUAGACCAGAGACAUCUAAUUGGCAGAGCCUAUCCCGUGUGCCCUGAUGGUAAGGGAGAUGGAGAAAUAGAGUUUCCAGCAUUUUCAGUUUCUAUAUGGAAAACAAGCUUUGCUCCACAAAAUGGGAGAGUCUCCAAAUGUAGGAAGGAGGAAGGAAGAGAUUCAGAUGCUGAGACACAAAAAGAGUGACAGAUGUCCAUGACCCUAUAGAAGAAGGGAAAAGAGAAUAUUAUCCUGGAAAAACACAGGGAGAACAACCUUUGAUUUGCCCAAGGAACCAGAAGAAAAUGAGAAAGAAGUUUUUGGUAUUCUCUAAAAAGUUAAAGGCAAUGCCUUUUGCAACAAGGACAUAAGUAAUAAAGAGAGACUCCAAUAUGAAAAGACAACAGAAUAACUGAAAUGGGAAAUGGACAAAUACUUAGGAAAUUUAAAAAGUGCCAAUAGCAGAAUUAAUAUCCACUUUGGGGGCAAGAACCAAGAGCAGAAAUCACCCAGAAAAAUCUAGCCAAUGACAUAGAGGAUAAACUUAAGAAUCUCUCCUAGAUUAUGGAAAAAAGCCUAAAGAGAUCAAAGUAGAAAGAGAAAAUCAUCUAUGUAAAUCAGGGGCCAGAGAUCCAACCUGAAAAUUAUUGGAAGUAAGUCCUUAGGAAGAAAACAGGACCUGGCUCGGAAACAGUCACUGGUCAGAAACACUGACUAGGGCAUCAGUAGAGGAAACUUUCCCAAGCUGCGGAGGUUACCUGGGUGUGCAAGUCACAGGCGCCACACUGCAUUCAAGGCAAAACCAAAGACGAGAUUCACACGCACACACAUCAGGGUGGAAUGUUUGUAACACGGAGUAAAGCAAAACGACAACAACAAAUCCCGUAAACGUCUGGGUGGCAAAAGGAGUUUACCUAGCAAGGAAUAAAAAUCACUUUAGCCUCAGGACUUCCCUGGUGACGCAGUGGUUAAGAAUCCGCCUGCCGAUGCAGGGGACACGGGUUCAAGCCCUGGUCCGGGAAGAUCCCACAUGCGGCGGAACAACUAAGCCCAUGCGCCACAGCUACCUGAGCCCUCAUGCCUAGAGCCCAUGAGCCACAACUACUGAAUCCCACGCACCUAGAGCCUGUGCUCCACAAGAGAAGCCACCACAAUGUGAAGCCCGCGCACCGCAACAAAGAGUAGCCCCCGCUUGCCACAACUAGAGAAAGCCCACGCCCAGCAUUGAAGACCCAAUGCAGCCAAAAAUAAGUAAUACGUUAAUUAAUUAAUCAAAAAAAUCACUUUAGCCUCAGCUUUUUGGGCCAUAAUACAAUGUCAAAAGUAAAUAAAAUAAGAUUUAUAUCAUUUGGGGGAGAAAGGUUUUGACCAAAUGAACAUGUUUUACUUGUGUGAAAGCAACAGAAAGACAUCUUAGGUGUGAAAAAGAAAAUACUCCAAGGUCUCGCUUCUGAAAGUAUGGUCUGUGGACCAGCAGUACCAGCACCAUCUAGGAGCUUGUUAGAAAUGCGGAGUCUCCAGCCCUCCGGACCUACUGAAUUAGAAUCUGCAUUUUACCCGGAUCCUCAGGCAGUUCCUAUGCCUGUUACUGCCUGAGAAACACUGGUUUAAGACGAACCCUACAGACCAAGAAUGGAACCGAAGUUAUGAACUCGGGAAUGGUGAAGUGAUGGUUUAAAUGAUUGGCAAACUGCUCUGUGAACUGUCAACAGAGCCCCCACCUCAUCAGAAGGUCCCUGAGGACCACGGUCAAGAUCACCCAUGACUAAACAGGUGGGACGAAGCAUCUGCAACAACAGGAAGCAUUGGUGCCCUCUUGCAGUAGCGUCUGGAUCGAAGUUUCCCUUUCAUGGCUUUCAUUGUGGCAUUUUAUCUCUUCUGAGACUAAUACUGUCAUUGGACACAAGAAAUUUCUCUUUCAGGACCUAUCGCUUAAUUAUUGAGAAAAACAAUUAAGUGUGAUUAAAACAAUGUUUAAAAAAAAUCAAAACAGUUAAUGUCUGUUUAAAAAAAUACCGGAAGAGGGCUUCCCUGGUGGCUCAGUGGUUGAGAGUCCGCCUGCCAAUGCAGGGGACGCGGGUUUGUGCCCCGGUCUGGGAAGAUCCCACAUGCCAGCGGAGCGGCUGGGCCCGUGAGUCAUGGCCGCUGAGCCUGUGCGUCCGGAGCCUGUGCUCCGCAAUGGGAGAGGCCACAACAGUGAGAGGCCCGCGUACCGCAAAAAUAAAAAUAAAAAUAAAAAAUACCGGAAGGAAAUAAAGCAAAUUAUUACAUAAUAAAAGUUAUUUCUUUUUAAAUCUCUAUAUUUUUCAGGUGUUCUUGAAUGAGCUGAUUAUUACAGAUUAUAAAAAUAAAUUUAAAAAAUAAAUGUUUUCUGGCAUGGUGAGAAUACUUAAGCCAGGAAGCAAAUCAUAACUUAUAUGGGAUAUUUCCCCUAAGCCUUCCUGUCCAGCAUUUUCUCACUGUUCCCCUUCCUGCUCUCUGUUCUAACAAAACUACCUUAUGCUUUGUCACUCCACUGUCUUUACUAACUGGGAAAUCUACCUCUCCCAGCCUACCAAAAAUAUCUGAGGGGACAAAUCCUAUAGUCUUUCAAAGCUGGUUCAGGUGACACCUUCCCUACAAAAACCUCCCUGAUAGUUAGAACCAUUGGUAUUCUAACCCUCCUUCAACUCCCUGUAUGUUUCUUCAGGUCUUUUACACUUUAUAUCUCAUAUUAUUAUGUUAUUAAUAGUAAUAGUAGUAUUAGUAGUAAUAGUCUAAUGCCUUUGCUAUACUAUGAGCUCUUCAAGCCCUUUUGGAGUUUUGAAAAUACCUUGAUUACAGUAAACACCAAUAGGUGUUGUUAAGUGAAUGAGUCAUCAUUUGUCCUAGGAGUUGAGGCAGGUGCAAAAGAUUGUGGAAAUACCCCACAAUCUUUUCUUUUUACCAGCUGUGUAGCAUUGCUUUGAAUUUGGUUAAUAUAGCAACUGAGUGGUUUUAGUAACAAUAGCUUUUUAGGCUUGACAAAUAGAAAAACCAAGGAAAUACUUGUGUUUCUUUUUAAAAAACACCAAAAAGAACAUGUUGUAUCUUUCUGUAUUUAGAACAACUUACUAUCCUGCCUUGGGCAACUUGCUUCCUGGGCUCCAGAGGAACUGUUUGCUCUAAAAUUAGAAGAAAUGAGUUUGGAUUCAGAGCUCUCUAAGGCCCCUUCCAAAUCUAGCCUUCUGUAAUCCUAAAAAUGAUGAUCAAGCCAAGUUUGGCUUUUAGGGACUUCAGUUGUUGUGUUCCAAAUAUUACAGUGUCA
This is a long non-coding RNA of Globicephala melas (long-finned pilot whale), 10400 nucleotides long. RefSeq lists it as uncharacterized. The record is from RefSeq and is a predicted model, not a curated record. NCBI's taxonomy places the organism in Eukaryota, Metazoa, Chordata, Mammalia, Artiodactyla, Delphinidae.